CUCAACGGAUAAAAGGUACCCCGGGGAUAACAGGCUGAUCUUCCCCAAGAGUCCAUAUCGACGGGAUGGUUUGGCACCUCGAUGUCGGCUCGUCGCAUCCUGGGGCUGUAGCAGGUCCCAAGGGUUGGGCUGUUCGCCCAUUAAAGCGGUACGCGAGCUGGGUUUAGAACGUCGUGAGACAGUUCGGUCCCUAUCCGCCGUGCGCGUAGGAUACUUGAGAAGGGCUGUCCCUAGUACGAGAGGACCGGGACGGACGAACCUCUGGUGUGCCAGUUGUCCCGCCAGGGGCACGGCUGGUUAGCUACGUUCGGAAGGGAUAACCGCUGAAAGCAUCUAAGCGGGAAGCUCGCUUCAAGAUGAGGUAUCCCACCCACUUUGUGGGGUAAGGCCCCCAGCUAGACGACUGGGUUGAUAGGCCGGAAAUGUAAGCCCGGUAACGGGUUCAGUUGACCGGUACUAAUAGGCCGAGGACUUGACUAC
RNAcentral lists this ribosomal RNA (480 nucleotides) under Micromonospora sp. WP24. Its description in RNAcentral is "partial 23S ribosomal RNA". It matches the Rfam family "Bacterial large subunit ribosomal RNA", at positions 2448 to 2925 of the family's 2925-position model. The record is from RNAcentral. Lineage: Bacteria; Bacillati; Actinomycetota; Actinomycetes; Micromonosporales; Micromonosporaceae.